GAUGAACGCUAGCUACAGGCUUAACACAUGCAAGUCGAGGGGCAGCGGAGGAGUUAGCUUGCUAACUUCAGACGGCGACCGGCGCACGGGUGAGUAACACGUAUCCAACCUGGCCGUUACUCGGGAAUAGCCUUCCGAAAGGAGAUUAAUGCUCGAUGGUAUAUAUUUAUCGCAUGAUUUCUAUAUUAAAGAUUUAUCGGUAGCGGAUGGGGAUGCGUUCCAUUAGAUAGUUGGCGGGGUAACGGCCCACCAAGUCUUCGAUGGAUAGGGGUUCUGAGAGGAAGGUCCCCCACACUGGAACUGAGACACGGUCCAGACUCCUACGGGAGGCAGCAGUGAGGAAUAUUGGUCAAUGGGACGCGAGCCUGAACCAGCCAAGUANCGUGAACGGAUGACUGCCCUA
Molecule: ribosomal RNA, 403 nt
Filed under: uncultured bacterium
Lineage: Bacteria
Description: bacterial SSU rRNA
Rfam family: Bacterial small subunit ribosomal RNA
Source: RNAcentral